RNAcentral lists this ribosomal RNA (253 nucleotides) under uncultured bacterium. RNAcentral's name for it is "partial 16S ribosomal RNA". It matches the Rfam family "Bacterial small subunit ribosomal RNA", at positions 524 to 776 of the family's 1533-position model. The record is from RNAcentral.
UACAGAGGGGGCAAGCGUUGUUCGGAAUUACUGGGCGUAAAGGGCGCGUAGGCGGCCUUCUAAGUCAGACGUGAAAUCCCCGGGCUCAACCCGGGAACUGCGUCUGAUACUGGAGGGCUUGAAUCCGGGAGAGGGAUGUGGAAUUCCAGGUGUAGCGGUGAAAUGCGUAGAUAUCUGGAGGAACACCGGUGGCGAAGGCGGGUCUCUGGGCCGAUACUGACGCUGAGGAGCGAAAGCGUGGGGAGCGAACAGG